UGUUGCCAGAUUUACUGUUACGUUCCGUCACAAAUCAUCUGUCAUUCAAGUCAUUAUGUCAAGAAAAAAUGUGGUUUUGUUUUCAAAAUUGUUGAAGUUCUAUUUUCUAUUUGGUUUGGUUCUAUUUUUUAGUCAUGAAGUUAAGUAGUAUCGUGGGAUAUUUGAAGUUCUUGGGUACUCAAAAUUCAAGAAGUUUUAGAAGGAAAACAAGUUUUAAACUCUGGUCAUCUUAUUUUGGCUGGAAAAAUAGAGGAAAGUUCUGAGCAUACCAUCAAAAUAUAAUAUGGUUUAUUCCUUCAGUAAGGUCCAAUCCCCACGAAAUUAAAGGAACCGUAUCUUUCACAAAUGGCAUGAGCAUUAGCCAAAUGUUAUGUUCUUGUAAAGCAGAAAAUAGUGGAAAAUGUAAACAUGUCUCUACUCUUGUUAAAUGUAAGUAUAAGGGAAAAUGUGAAAUUAAUGGAACAUUCAGUACAUGAGUUGAAAAAAUGUUAACAGAUUGGCAAGUGAAGACCAUUUUUAAUUGAUCUAAACAUUUAUAGAAACAAAGUAUAUGGUUGAUAUAAAAUAUUACCUGCCUGAAGUAACUUGAUGUACAAAUCAAUAGUAACCAUAAUUUUUUUCCCAGGGCCAGUGAGAAACAAUGUGCAUUUCAUUUCUAAGUGUUCUAAGGAAAGCUUGCGUAAGAAUAAAUAGUUCUGUACAAUGAAGAUUAACCUAAUCUGUUUAACCAUCGAAAUUAUUGUAUUGUUAUAAAAAUAAUCUCCAUUUCAUAUUAUUUACAUUUACAAACAUUAGCCUAGAAUUUUAUUGUGUCUACAUUAGUGGCCAUAGUCCCAAACCUCCCCUGGUCAACGGAGGUACUGUCUUUCGCAGAUGUAGUAAUGCCGGGUUUGAUACAUUAUUGCUAAAUAAACUUUGUGAUUAGUAACUUUUCACAAAAUAAACAGAGUUUUAAUAGUUUUCACUGUACUUAAAUAUUUUUUACAUUCAGUGGUAAUAACAUUAUAUUUUGUUUUGGUAUUUAAAUUUACCUAAAUAUUUAUAGAAAUAUACUAUACUAAAUUCAAGAUGCAGUAGAAAUAAACAAACCAAGACACAUUAAAUGCUACUAUGAGCACUCCCGAAUCAUAAUUUACAAUGUAUAUACAUUGUAAAUCCCAAAUAAUGAUUUUCAAAGUUUAUACAUUGUAAGUUAUGAUUCGGGAGUGCUCCUAAUAGUAGCAUUUAACUUGUCUUGGUUUGUUUAUUUCUACUGCAUCUUAAUUUUAAAUUUAGUGUAGAUGUGGCCAUCAUAGGACUCUUACUUAUAGAUGCAAUAAAAUUAUUGGUUUAUUUUCAUUUUAAAUGUUAUACUUCCAGUAUUGUAUGUAGUACCUAGUAUUAAAACAUAUAUUUUUAAUUAAAAAUAAAAAUAUCUUAUUUCUAUAAUGAACAACAUUAAAUUUACUUCUUGCGGGAGUAGAAAAAAGUUAUAGUAAAUAUUUUUAACUCGUUUAGCUUUUGAUGAUAUUUGCCAUAUGUUUGUGUAAGACAUGUUUAAGGAGUAGUCUAAGGGCAUAUUAUUAUACUUUGUUAUACAAAAUAUACAUAAAAUUUUGAAACUUUCA
Molecule: long non-coding RNA, 1607 nt
Filed under: Diabrotica virgifera virgifera (western corn rootworm)
Lineage: Eukaryota; Metazoa; Arthropoda; Insecta; Coleoptera; Chrysomelidae
Description: uncharacterized LOC126884286
Source: RNAcentral